GAAAAUAGCAGGGAACCAAAUUUCGAAUUUUCAGAAGUCCAAAUCCAACUCAAUCACUACCAACACAAUUCCAAGAGCCACGAAAGAGUUUCUCACCUAAGGAAUUCCAGUUGCAAUUAAAUUCAACAUCAAAAGAGGAAUCACAAGCCAAAUUAAAAAGGGAUUUCAAAACCCUAGAAGGAUGGAAUUCUUCAGCUAUAAAA
Molecule: long non-coding RNA, 203 nt
Filed under: Manihot esculenta (cassava)
Lineage: Eukaryota; Viridiplantae; Streptophyta; Magnoliopsida; Malpighiales; Euphorbiaceae
Description: long non-coding RNA (MESC_LNC012079)
Source: RNAcentral